Molecule: RNA transcript, 1075 nt
Organism: Terrapene triunguis (Three-toed box turtle)
Lineage: Eukaryota; Metazoa; Chordata; Testudines; Emydidae
Gene: PRRG3
Gene name: proline rich and Gla domain 3
Exons: 3
Source: RefSeq, a predicted model, not a curated record
GUGGUGUGUACCAAAGGAGCCUGGAGGCAGUAUUGGGUGGGUCAUAGUUUCCUGUAGAGACGAUGGGUAUAUAGAGCUCAGCUGGGACCUGCAGCAAGCUGCCCAGGCUCCAGAAAAACCCAUCUUUCCCCAUGGAUCAGUCCCUGCUACUCGUGUGACCAAGGGCUUGGAACCAAGGGCCUGUGACUUUGAGCGCUCCGUGACUCUCCCAUUUUCUUCCCAACAGGUAGGUGAGAGCCCUGAGUAUCUGAGCAAGGCAGCAUGGCAACCUGAUGUGCUGCUGCAUGGCACAGAGGCUGUGUGCGGUGCUCCGCUGAGAGCUGAGGAUAGCCCUGGUUCUGAAGCCAGACUGGGAGAGGCCAGGGAUCUUGCUGGGAUCUUGGGAUCUGCUUGGGGCAUGCCAGGAUCCAGACCUAACAGUGGAGACAGCGGUCAAGCUGAGCCAGCAGGAGGACCCGGGGGACGAGGGCUGCUCUGUGCCAGAAGCCAGUACAGCACCGUGGAUGUCCCAGAGCAGGGAACGGGCCAGGUUGCACAGUGGUGGAAAGGCUGGCAAACCUGAGGUCCAGGAAAAGCAGGGAACAGGCUUGUUACUUCAGGAAACACAGAGGGAGACUCAAAGGAGCUCAGAGCGAAUGUUCCAGUGUGAGGAGGAGGAGGAAGUGAGAUGCGCUCCUGAAAGACUGGAUGGGUCGAGGCAAGAGGAGGAGCUGGUGCCAGGCUAUUUCCAGAAAGAUAGGAAAUGACUUGAGGAUAGACAGCUCCAUUGUGAAACCUCCACCCAGUGCACAAAGGCUGAAGAGCAGAUGGUAGCCAAAGCUGAUCCAGCAACCGAUCCCUGCAUCAUCUGCUCAGUACUACCCUGCUAAGCUGGCCAGUGCUCCUCUCGGGACAGCUCCCUCACAGCCAUUCCCCAUGAAAUUCCUUCACAGAGACUGAAGAAAUAGGAGAGCUGGGGCCCCAGCAAGAUGCACUUGAUGAUUGUAAAAUAGUCUCUCCAUUGCCAUUUUUUUUGUAAAUAUGUUGCUGUGGUCUAGUAUUGAAGCUGGCCUGCAUCUCUGUAUAAUAAAGUAGA